UCCCCUAUAGCUCAGUUGGUAGAGCGUUCGGCUUUUAGUAACCCUAAAGGCAUUGCAACCGAAAUGUCCAGGGUUCGAGCCCCUGUGGGGGAG
Molecule: transfer RNA, 93 nt
Organism: Yarrowia lipolytica
Lineage: Eukaryota; Fungi; Ascomycota; Dipodascomycetes; Dipodascales
Rfam family: tRNA
About the family: Transfer RNA (tRNA) molecules are approximately 80 nucleotides in length. Their secondary structure includes four short double-helical elements and three loops (D, anti-codon, and T loops). Further hydrogen bonds mediate the characteristic L-shaped molecular structure. tRNAs have two regions of fundamental functional importance: the anti-codon, which is responsible for specific mRNA codon recognition, and the 3' end, to which the tRNAs corresponding amino acid is attached (by aminoacyl-tRNA synthetases). tRNAs cope with the degeneracy of the genetic code in two manners: having more than one tRNA (with a specific anti-codon) for a particular amino acid; and 'wobble' base-pairing, i.e. permitting non-standard base-pairing at the 3rd anti-codon position.
Source: Rfam